RNAcentral lists this ribosomal RNA (482 nucleotides) under uncultured bacterium. RNAcentral's name for it is "partial 16S ribosomal RNA". It matches the Rfam family "Bacterial small subunit ribosomal RNA", at positions 30 to 507 of the family's 1533-position model. The record is from RNAcentral.
AUUGAACGCUGGCGGCAUGCCUUACACAUGCAAGUCGAACGGUAACAGGUCUUCGGAUGCUGACGAGUGGCGAACGGGUGAGUAAUACAUCGGAACGUGCCCGAUCGUGGGGGACAACGAGGCGAAAGCUUUGCUAAUACCGCAUACGAUCUACGGAUGAAAGCGGGGGAUCUUCGGACCUCGCGCGGACGGAGCGGCCGAUGGCAGAUUAGGUAGUUGGUGGGAUAAAAGCUUACCAAGCCGACGAUCUGUAGCUGGUCUGAGAGGAUGAUCAGCCACACUGGGACUGAGACACGGCCCAGACUCCUACGGGAGGCAGCAGUGGGGAAUUUUGGACAAUGGGCGAAAGCCUGAUCCAGCCAUGCCGCGUGCAGGAUGAAGGCCUUCGGGUUGUAAACUGCUUUUGUACGGAACGAAAAGCCUCUUUCUAAUAAAGAGGGGUCAUGACGGUACCGGAAGAAUAAGCACCGGCUAACUACGUG